GACGAACGCUGGCGGCGUGCUUAACACAUGCAAGUCGAACGGAAAGGCCCUGCUUUUGUGGGGUGCUCGAGUGGCGAACGGGUGAGUAACACGUGAGUAACCUGCCCUUGACUUUGGGAUAACUUCAGGAAACUGGGGCUAAUACCGGAUAGGAGCUCCUGCUGCAUGGUGGGGGUUGGAAAGUUUCGGCGGGUGGGGAUGGACUCGCGGCUUAUCAGCUUGUUGGUGGGGUAGUGGCUUGCCAAGGCUUUGACGGGUAGCCGGCCUGAGAGGGUGACCGGCCACAUUGGGACAGAGGUACGGGCAGGACUCCUACGGGAGGAAGCAGUGGGGAAUAUUGCACAAUGGGCGGAAGCCUGAUGCAGCAACGCCGCGUGCGGGAUGACGGCCUUCGGGUUGUAAACCGAUUUCGCCUGUGACGAAGCGUGAGGGACGGUAAUGGGUAAAGAAGCACCGGCUAACUACGUG
RNAcentral lists this ribosomal RNA (468 nucleotides) under uncultured bacterium. RNAcentral's name for it is "partial 16S ribosomal RNA". It matches the Rfam family "Bacterial small subunit ribosomal RNA", at positions 28 to 507 of the family's 1533-position model. The record is from RNAcentral.